Molecule: ribosomal RNA, 425 nt
Filed under: uncultured rumen bacterium
Lineage: Bacteria
Description: bacterial SSU rRNA
Rfam family: Bacterial small subunit ribosomal RNA
Source: RNAcentral
GUGGGGAAUAUUGGUCAAUGGGCGGAAGCCUGAACCAGCCAUGCCGCGUGAAGGAAUAAGGCCCUAUGGGUCGUAAACUUCUUUUGACGGGGAGCAAUAAGGGUCACGCGUGGCCCGAUGAGAGUACUCGUCGAAUAAGCAUCGGCUAACUCCGUGCCAGCAGCCGCGGUAAUACGGAGGAUGCAAGCGUUAUCCGGAUUUAUUGGGUUUAAAGGGUGCGUAGGCGGACGUGUAAGUCAGGGGUGAAAUACCGGGGCUCAACCUCGGAACUGCCUUUGAUACUGCAUGUCUGGAGUUCGGAUGCCGUGGGAGGAAUGGGCAGUGUAGCGGUGAAAUGCAUAGAUAUUGCCCAGAACACCGAUUGCGAAGGCAUCUCACGAAUCCGACACUGACGCUGAGGCACGAAAGCGUGGGGAUCAAACAGG